GAAACGAAAAACGAAAAACGAAAAGCGACGUUUUUGGUCGUUUUCCGUUUUCCGUUUUUGAGUUUUUUU
RNAcentral lists this non-coding RNA (69 nucleotides) under uncultured eukaryote. The record is from RNAcentral.